AUUUGCUCCUUGGUGUGGCGGAUAUUUUGGUGGCGGGUGUGUCGGAGACUUUCGUUGUCAGCCAGAAAGCCAAAACCAAGCAAAUAUUUUGGUAAGCAAAGCGUCAAACGCAGCGAACCCACCGAGAGAAUCCUCACUCGCUCACUUCACCUCACCUCUCACUCCACUCCUCGAAAGCCGAAUCGCUGCACCUCUCAUUUCCCGUUUCGGCGACGACCCAUCAACUGCUUCGCCGUUUCUCGCCUCCCCUUGUCUCCAUGAGUCUUCCAAAAAUAUUGGCAGCAGAAUUGGAGAUUUGGGUUAUUUGAGUCUAAAGGCUCUGGUAACGUGUACGAUUUAUCUUAUCGUAAGAUCAUUGGCGUCUGCAUUUGGAGAUGGCUUCUUGUUCAUCCGUGCGUAUUGCACCUUCUGUCACCCCAGUCCCCUUGGGGAUGUCUGGCAACCUUGGAGACAGAUUUGCCCUCGAGAAUCAGUUGGGAAGAGUUAAUUUUCUGAGAAUGUCCAACCGCAAGAGUGGACUUAUGGAUGCCUACCAAACUUACUCUUCAUCUCAAUUUAAAUGCUCUGUUAACUCACACAAUGUCAGUCCAUACCCAAGUAAAGACCCUUUCCUGAAUCUGCACCCGGAAGUGUCAAUGCUUAGGGGUGAGGGAAAUAGCACCAUAAGUAAUCCGCGGAAGGAUAGUUCAAGUGGAAGUGUCACGGAGAGCCUAAGAGAUACACCUACUCCAAAUACUUAUAAUGAAGCUAAGAUCAAGGUUAUUGGGGUGGGAGGAGGUGGUUCAAACGCAGUUAAUCGCAUGAUUGAAAGUGCAAUGAAGGGUGUGGAGUUUUGGAUUGUCAAUACAGAUGUUCAAGCAAUGAGAAUGUCACCUGUCUUUCCAGAGAAUCGUCUACAAAUCGGUCAAGAGCUAACUAGAGGUCUUGGUGCUGGUGGGAACCCCGAGAUUGGCAUGAAUGCUGCCAAAGAGAGCAAAGAAACAAUAGAAGAGGCACUUUAUGGUGCAGAUAUGGUUUUUGUCACGGCUGGAAUGGGGGGAGGAACUGGGACUGGUGGUGCACCUAUCAUUGCAGGAGUUGCAAAAUCGAUGGGUAUACUGACUGUUGGUAUAGUCACUACGCCAUUUUCUUUUGAGGGAAGAAGGAGGACCGUUCAAGCCCAGGAAGGAGUAGCAUCUUUGAGAGACAACGUUGACACGCUAAUUGUCAUCCCGAAUGACAAAUUGUUAACUGCAGUUUCACAAUCUACCCCAGUGACUGAAGCAUUUAAUCUGGCAGAUGAUAUCCUACGGCAAGGAGUUCGAGGCAUCUCUGACAUAAUCACGAUACCGGGGCUGGUCAAUGUGGAUUUUGCUGAUGUUCGAGCUAUAAUGGCAGAUGCCGGCUCUUCAUUGAUGGGGAUAGGAACCGCAACAGGUAAGAGCAGGGCCAAAGAUGCUGCAUUGAAUGCCAUUCAGUCACCAUUACUGGACAUCGGCAUAGAAAGGGCUACUGGUAUUGUUUGGAACAUAACUGGAGGCAGUGAUCUCACCUUAUAUGAGGUAAAUGCUGCUGCGGAGGUGAUAUAUGAUCUUGUGGAUCCAAAUGCCAAUUUAAUAUUUGGUGCAGUAAUUGAUCCAUCACUCAGUGGUCAAGUUAGCAUAACAUUGAUUGCGACGGGUUUCAAACGCCAAGAAGAAAGCGACAGCAGGCUCCUCCAGGCAGGUCAGCUUGCCCAAGGUGAGGUCACCAUAGGAAUCAACCGGCCAUCGUCCUCUUUUAGUGAGGGUGGUUCAGUAGAGAUUCCAGAAUUCCUCAAGAAGAAGGGACGGUCACGUUAUCCAAGAGCUUAAAUUGUAAAGUGAGGAAUUUCUUGUUGAAUUUUGGCAUGCCUUCUAGGAGAAUGAAAAGGAUUCUCUGACAAUACUGGCCUCCUAAAUUUGCCUAUGGAUCUUAACUAAAGUUUUGCAGACUCAAGUAUCAUCCAAGUUCUCCACAAAGGAGCAAGCAUUGUUUGUCUGUGCAAUGCUCUUCCUGAAGAGCAUUGGAAUCAUAUGUUGCAGCUUGUGGAUUGCAUGGGAGGCAGAUGCCUUGGCAGGAUGACUCAAUUGGGUAAGGCGAUACUUGUGUUUUUAGCUUCUUGGAGGGCUCUAAUUUGGGUUCUGAAUAAUCAUGAAAUGUCUGCUGUUGCUUGUGGGAUUUGGUAAAUUCGGUUUCCUGAUAAGCAUAGAAUUGAGAGCUGAGAGUUUUGGGCUUUACCUAGAGGGAAACCUUCGCGGUAAUUCUACUGGAAGUUGGGACAUUAGUAGCUUACCUAGUUGGGUAGAUCAAAUUUCAUGAAGGCGGUCCAGUUAUGUGGAAUAUGCCUUUGAAUCUUGUGACCCUUAUACACCCAACUGUUAAGAUUUCAGUCCACAUCGAUUGUGCAAAGGUUAGAUUUUGCCCUAAUUCGCGCCUCCGGCUGGUCUCUUUUUGGGCUAUAUAUGGCUUUACUUUCUGGUAGACACCAAUCUGUAAUAUUUUGAGUCACAAGGCGAACUCUCUUACAGUGAGGCUUCUCUCAGAACAGGUCAA
This is an RNA transcript of Eucalyptus grandis, 2553 nucleotides long. It is a transcript of the gene named cell division protein FtsZ homolog 2-1, chloroplastic, with no coding region annotated. The transcript has 10 exons. Lineage: Eukaryota; Viridiplantae; Streptophyta; Magnoliopsida; Myrtales; Myrtaceae. The record is from RefSeq and is a predicted model, not a curated record.